GACGAACGCUGGCGGCGUGCCUAAUACAUGCAAGUUGAGCGCUGAAGGUUGGUACUUGUACCAACUGGAUGAGCAGCGAACGGGUGAGUAACGCGUGGGGAAUCUGCCUUUGAGCGGGGGACAACAUUUGGAAACGAAUGCUAAUACCGCAUAAAAACUUUAAACACAAGUUUUAAGUUUGAAAGAUGCAAUUGCAUCACUCAAAGAUGAUCCCGCGUUGUAUUAGCUAGUUGGUGAGGUAAAGGCUCACCAGGGCGAUGAUACAUAGCCGACCUGAGAGGGUGUUCGGCCACAUUGGGACUGAGACACGGCCCAAACUCCUACGGGAGGCAGCAGUAGGGAAUCUUCGGCAAUGGACGAAAGUCUGACCGAGCAACGCCGCGUGAGUGAAGAAGGUUUUCGGAUCGUAAAACUCUGUUGGUAGAGAAGAACGUUGGUGAGAGUGGAAAGCUCAUCAAGUGACGGUAACUACCCAGAAAGGGACGGCUAACUACGUG
Molecule: ribosomal RNA, 497 nt
Filed under: uncultured bacterium
Lineage: Bacteria
Description: partial 16S ribosomal RNA
Rfam family: Bacterial small subunit ribosomal RNA
Source: RNAcentral